This 1947-nucleotide long non-coding RNA is filed under the name Malus domestica (apple). Its description in RNAcentral is "long non-coding RNA (MDOM_LNC004433)". The record is from RNAcentral. Lineage: Eukaryota; Viridiplantae; Streptophyta; Magnoliopsida; Rosales; Rosaceae.
CCUUUAAUUGUUAAUUGCAUGCUUAUUGAUGUUGCUUAAAUGAACAUGUUUUCACAAAAUAUUCCUUCAAGUGGUAUCAGAGCCUAGGUCUAGUAGUUGGUGAAUCCUUUUGGGUUUUGUAGUUCAUAGUUUGUGAUUUAAAAGUUGUAAUAUGUUACAAGCUUUAUUCUUGUUUUUUGAAUGUAAAUUUUGCUAGAAAAUUUGUCAUCUCAAAUGUUGUAGAUGUAGUUCAUAUGAGCAUGAAUAUUGGAGCUAAAUUUGGUGCCAUGACUUUGGGGAUUUUCGGCCAAAUCCAAAGGGUGGAUUUUUGGGUUCUUGUUUGACUUGUUAAAUGUGUUUUCAAGUGACUUUUGGAACCCUUAUGUACCCUAGUUUGGUUAGAUGUUAUUUCCCUAAAGUUUGAAUGGUUUUGGAAUGUUUUUGGGUGAAAAAAGUUCAUGGAAAAAUUUUGGGUUUUUCAUGAAUGUUCUUCAUUGUUCUUGACAUUUUUGCCAAGAACAAAAAGGUUUGUGUUUUGAUUCAAAGUUUUGAUUUAUUACAUAAAGUUUAUGUUUUUUGUUUUUCAAAUGUUUUAAUACAUAAGAUAUUUAUUUGAAGGGUGAUGGAAAUGGUGAUGGGUGUGUAAGGAUUAAUUUCCUUUCACAUACACCACUUGCACCACUUGUUGCUUUAUGUCUAAAACUCACAAAUCAACACACACAUCACUCUAUCCUCUUCCAAAACCGGCCACCCUUGCAAGUGGGGUACUUUUGGGGCUUUUAUGCAAUUUACAUAAAGUUUUGAUACUUUUGUGUAUUUGCACUUUGGCCCAAAAAGUUUACGUUUUUUUACGUUUAGGUCCAAAAACGCUAAAGGACAAAUUGUUUUGAUCCUUUAAUGAAGUUUUGCAUUGAUUAAAUUUUGGGUUCUAUUGUAAUUACAUGAAGUAGUGGACUUUUGUGUCUUUACAAAGUGACCCCAAAAGUUUUGCAAUGUAGCCCAAAAGUUGAGGUUAAUUGCUUUAUGGCCCAAAAGUUGUGGUUAUUGCAUAUUGGCCCAAAUUAAGUAGAGAACAAAAUUGUUUUGUCUCUUUAAAAUGAGAAUUGGAUUUUCAUUUUGUUUAGCUCCAUUUAAAUCAAUUUUAUGGAUACAAAAAAACCAAAUGAAAAUGUUGCAUUUAAUUUAAUUAGUUAAAGUGUUAAUUAAUUAAAGGGUGAUUAUGAACCUAAGCCUAAUAUAAUUGAGCUAUGUGAAAGGCCGUUUCAAAUUUGUUUGAACCAUGGGAAUGUGUAGAUUAAUUUUGGUUGUAAUUUGAUUUGAUCAAAUGUUGUAAAAGGGCUUAAGCUCUUCUUUACUUUAAAGUAAUUUGUUUUAUGCAAAUGUUGUAAUGAGCAUAAGCUCACCUUUACUUUGAAGUACUUCUUUCUUGCUUUAUAUGAUAUGCAUGAAAAUGAAGUAGUUGGGUCCAACGCCCCUAAGACAACACGCCUUAAUGUGAUUAAACGCGUAACUAAAAUCAAUCACCAUUCCUAGACCGAGAUUCAACACAAGGCUCGUGUUGAAUCUAAACCAAGGUUCAUAGUCAUCCUAAGGCCCUAAGGCAACUAUAUAGUCCAUUAAAUGAAUGCAAAGUUUAUGUUAGUAGUAUCAUAUACUCUUGCUUUAAAAACCGUUUUAAAAGCAUAGUGGGAGUAUCAUAUACAACUAAAACAAUCAUAUGGACCAAUAGUUGUAAUAGGACCAAAAUUGUUUUAAUAGAGAUUAAAAUGUAUGUUUAUAUGUGAUGAGACCUAAAACCCUCAACCAAACCAAUAUUAAGUUGAAAAGCGUGAGAGUGCUUUGAACACUCUUUCGUGGCCUUCCACCGUGGUAGGCUUCAAUCGUUUGUGACUCAUACAAUGUAUUCGUCCAGUUCUGGGGUUGCAAAGUAUGUGCUUACAUUCAGGAGAAGCCUAUAAACAUAUGAUG